AUGAAGUCACCUUUGAUUCUAAAUGAGUCGGAAAGUUUCCUGCCUCGUCGGGCGCAGCUUGAGCUUGCCCCAUCGGCCGCGAUCGGUGGAGGCUGCGGCGGAUCCAGCCCGGGGCCUCAAGGCCUCUCCCCAACCUCCGGGCCAGUCUCCCUCCCCCACCUUCUCGUCCGCCGGGAACUGCGGCUGCCGUCCCUGAGAUGCGACCCUCGCGGGGGCGACCCUGAGGGGUGGCGGCCCAUGUGCUGAGCGGCGGCCCAGAAGCCUAGGCGUCCGGGGACCAACUUCCUGCCGCCUGGGAACCCGAGCCUCCCGGUGUCGCGCCUCGCUCGGUCCGCACCGGCCUGCGGAGCCGGGUCCCCGCCCUGGUCGCGGGGACGCUCGCCAGGUGCCCAGGAGUCCCGACUUGGCCACUGCCCGCGCCCCGCCGGCCUCCACGCCUCGCGCGGAGGACCUCAGCCACCGCCGUCUCGGAUCGUGCCAGGCCGGGGACCGCGUCCCCCUUCCCGGGGCGGCCUCCGCUCAGCAGGGGCGAUGCAGACUGUCCCGCCGGCCGUCUAGAGCCCCUCCGCCUCCGUCACCUCUCGCCCCUUCACUCCGGGCGAGGACUGGCGGUGGCUGCCCAGAGGUGCCCAGCCACACCUUCCUUCGGCCCAAAAGGACUUUCCUGGCCGCGCCGAACCGACCCUUCCUUCAUGCUGCAGUGCUGCAACGUUUCCGCCACCAAGGGGGAAAAGCGGCCGCGAUCUCAAACCAAACACAAGAAUUGGCGUGUGACUCAUCUGCUUGGAUACCUCCAGUCCCCAAACUGUGUUCCAGGAGUUUUCUUGGCCGAAGCUGCCCGAUGUUUGAGCCUUUUC
RNAcentral lists this long non-coding RNA (857 nucleotides) under Pan troglodytes (chimpanzee). RNAcentral's name for it is "long non-coding RNA NONPTRT011416". Lineage: Eukaryota; Metazoa; Chordata; Mammalia; Primates; Hominidae. The record is from RNAcentral.